UAGUCGUGCCCGGUAGGCAAAUCCGCCGGGCUUAGAUGAGGGGUGAUAACGAGUCUGCUUGCAGACGAAGUGAGUGAUACCCUGCUUCCAGGAAAAGCCACUAAGCUUCAGCUAUUGACGACCGUACCGCAAACCGACACUGGUGCGCGAGAUGAGUAUUCUAAGGCGCUUGAGAGAACUCUGGAGAAGGAACUCGGCAAAUUGAUACCGUAACUUCGGGAGAAGGUAUGCCCCAAGUAGGUGAACCUGUACAAGGCGAGCCCAAAGGGGUUGCAAAAAAUCGGUGGCUGCGACUGUUUAAUAAAAACACAGCACUCUGCAAACACGAAAGUGGACGUAUAGGGUGUGACGCCUGCCCGGUGCUGGAAGAUUAAAUGAUGGGGUGCAAGCUCUUGAUUGAAGUCCCAGUAAACGGCGGCCGUAACGAUAACGGUCCUAAGGUAGCGAAAUUCCUUGUCGGGUAAGUUCCGACCUGCACGAAUGGCGUAACGAUGGCCACACUGUCUCCUCCAGAGACUCAGCGAAGUUGAAAUGUUUGUGAUGAUGCAAUCUACCCGCGGAAAGACGGAAAGACCCCAUGAACCUUUACUGUAGCUUUGUAUUGGACUUUGAACAGAUCUGUGUAGGAUAGGUGGGAGGCUUUGAAGCGUGGUCGCUAGAUCAUGUGGAGCCAACGUUGAAAUACCACCCUGGUGUGUUUGAGGUUCUAACCUAGGUCCAUUAUCUGGAUCGGGGACAGUGCAUGGUAGGCAGUUUGACUGGGGCGGUCUCCUCCCAAAGCGUAACGGAGGAGUUCGAAGGUACGCUAGUUACGGUCGGACAUCGUGACGAUAGUGCAAUGGCAUAAGCGUGCUUAACUGCGAGACUGACAAGUCGAGCAGAUGCGAAAGCAGGACAUAGUGAUCCGGUGGUUCUGUAUGGAAGGGCCAUCGCUCAACGGAUAAAAGGUACUCUGGGGAUAACAGGCUGAUACCGCCCAAGAGUUCAUAUCGACGGCGGUGUUUGGCACCUCGAUGUCGGCUCAUCUCAUCCUGGGGCUGUAGCCGGUCCCAAGGGUAUGGCUGUUCGCCAUUUAAAGAGGUACGUGAGCUGGGUUUAAAACGUCGUGAGACAGUUUGGUCCCUAUCUUCCGUGGGCGCUGCAGAUUUGAGGAAGCCUGCUCCUAGUACGAGAGGACCGGAGUGGACACACCUCUGGUGUACCGGUUGUCACGCCAGUGGCAUCGCCGGGUAGCUAAGUGUGGAAGAGAUAACCGCUGAAAGCAUCUAAGCGGGAAACUCGUUUCAAGAUGAGAUCUGCCGGGGGCUCGACCCCCCUGAAGAGUCGUUCUAGACCAGGACGUUGAUAGGCUGGGUGUGGAAGCGCAGCAAUGCGUUAAGCUAA
This 1383-nucleotide ribosomal RNA is filed under the name metagenome. RNAcentral's name for it is "bacterial LSU rRNA". It matches the Rfam family "Bacterial large subunit ribosomal RNA", at positions 1521 to 2894 of the family's 2925-position model. The record is from RNAcentral.